RNAcentral lists this ribosomal RNA (609 nucleotides) under Faucicola osloensis. RNAcentral describes it as "bacterial SSU rRNA". It matches the Rfam family "Bacterial small subunit ribosomal RNA", at positions 96 to 706 of the family's 1533-position model. The record is from RNAcentral. Lineage: Bacteria; Pseudomonadati; Pseudomonadota; Gammaproteobacteria; Moraxellales; Moraxellaceae.
UGGCGGACGGGUGAGUAACAUUUAGGAAUCUGCCUAGUAGUGGGGGAUAGCUCGGGGAAACUCGAAUUAAUACCGCAUACGACCUACGGGUGAAAGGGGGCGCAAGCUCUUGCUAUUAGAUGAGCCUAAAUCAGAUUAGCUAGUUGGUGGGGUAAAGGCCCACCAAGGCGACGAUCUGUAACUGGUCUGAGAGGAUGAUCAGUCACACCGGAACUGAGACACGGUCCGGACUCCUACGGGAGGCAGCAGUGGGGAAUAUUGGACAAUGGGGGCAACCCUGAUCCAGCCAUGCCGCGUGUGUGAAGAAGGCCUUUUGGUUGUAAAGCACUUUAAGCAGGGAGGAGAGGCUAAUGGUUAAUACCCAUUAGAUUAGACGUUACCUGCAGAAUAAGCACCGGCUAACUCUGUGCCAGCAGCCGCGGUAAUACAGAGGGUGCGAGCGUUAAUCGGAAUUACUGGGCGUAAAGCGAGUGUAGGUGGCUCAUUAAGUCACAUGUGAAAUCCCCGGGCUUAACCUGGGAACUGCAUGUGAUACUGGUGGUGCUAGAAUAUGUGAGAGGGAAGUAGAAUUCCAGGUGUAGCGGUGAAAUGCGUAGAGAUCUGGAGGAA